RNAcentral lists this ribosomal RNA (138 nucleotides) under Cobetia crustatorum. Its description in RNAcentral is "partial 16S ribosomal RNA". It matches the Rfam family "Bacterial small subunit ribosomal RNA", at positions 1 to 119 of the family's 1533-position model. Lineage: Bacteria; Pseudomonadati; Pseudomonadota; Gammaproteobacteria; Oceanospirillales; Halomonadaceae. The record is from RNAcentral.
UUAAAUUGAAGAGUUUGAUCAUGGCUCAGAUUGAACGCUGGCGGCAGGCCUAACACAUGCAAGUCGAGCGGAAACGACACUAACAAUCCUUCGGGUGCGUUAAUGGGCGUCGAGCGGCGGACGGGUGAGUAAUGCCUA